UUCUCUCUUUUCCUUUUCAAU
Molecule: non-coding RNA, 21 nt
Filed under: Caenorhabditis elegans
Lineage: Eukaryota; Metazoa; Nematoda; Chromadorea; Rhabditida; Rhabditidae
Source: RNAcentral